CUGACAAGAGCUGGAGUUGAGAAGCAAGGAGCAACAGCAAUGGUGAAAAGGAGCAAACAUGUGCCUUGCCCCUCAAUUUUAUAAGGAAAGCUGAGGCUGUGAAGCAUGAAGCAAUUUGUCCAAUUCACAAAAUUUGAUUUUGAAGCAUGUUUUGAAGAGGUUGCAAAGUGUGGGCUUUCAUUUUGAGGGGAGCACAGUAAUAAUAUUGACACAAUAUGCUUCAAAGAGAUGUAUUGAGGCUCAAACAUUGUGAUCGCUUUGCAGAAAUAUAAAGAAGCAAAAGGAUGUAUGUUCUUAGGGUCACCAAGUUUUUAAGGAACAAGGAGACAACUUGGCACAGGAAGAUAAAUAUUGCAGUGGGGAAAUGUCAGCUUUUUAAAUGAAAACCACUGGAGCUGAAAAAUCUACUCCCUGUGUGAUAGCAGGUGAGAGAGACUGCAUAUCAUGGCAAGCGAAUGGAUGGUUCAAAACAUUCCUCCUAAAAUUGGCAAUGUUUCUAGAAAUCCUAAGGAUUAAGAAAGGUCGGGAGCAAAAGGCAAAUUUUAUCAUCCCUUCAUUUCAGGAAUUCAACUGGGUCUGAUCUCAGACCCAAC
Phascolarctos cinereus (koala) is the source of this 593-nucleotide long non-coding RNA. RefSeq lists it as uncharacterized. Lineage: Eukaryota; Metazoa; Chordata; Mammalia; Diprotodontia; Phascolarctidae. The record is from RefSeq and is a predicted model, not a curated record.